GAUCCCAUCGUUCAAUGGAUAGGACACGACCCUGCGAAGGUCGUAAUGCAGGUUCGAUCCCUGCUGGGAUCACCA
This 75-nucleotide transfer RNA is filed under the name Patescibacteria group bacterium. Its description in RNAcentral is "tRNA-Arg". It matches the Rfam family "tRNA". From Rfam's summary of the family: Transfer RNA (tRNA) molecules are approximately 80 nucleotides in length. Their secondary structure includes four short double-helical elements and three loops (D, anti-codon, and T loops). The record is from RNAcentral.